UGGGUCAGCUCCAGAAGGGCCUUGUCCAUCCUGUGCCCAGCAGACUCAUUGGCCGUGAGCCACUGGUGGAUGUACCUCACCAUGGCGGGCGCCUGCAGAGGGCACGGGGAGACUCGCAGAGCUGCCAGAGCAGCAACUUCCCCUGAGAAGUGCUUCCCUUCCAACCGCAUUGGACCGGGCCUCAAAGGCCGAAGGAGCCCAGCAGACCUGGCUGGAGGUGCCACACCCCUGCUGGGGCCAUCGAGCCCUUGCCCCAGGCUGCUUACUUGUGUUGGAUUGGAGACACCCUUCUCCACAAGCAAAUCCAGCAUGGCAGCACCGGUCUCGGCAUCAUCUUGGCAACAAGUUGUCCAGCCAAAGGGCUACAUUGUCGCAUGUGUUGCUUACACUUUAGGGGGCCUAGAUGCAGGUCUGCAGUGAUAAAUAUCAGGGAUCGGGGAAUUAGUCUGAAAGCAUUUUUUAAAGGAUCAGCUCAUUUGCUGGGCUACAACCCAUGGCCUUCAGCAGCAGGUGCCAAAGAUCCAGAGACUUGAAAUUCCUGUGUGAAGGACCAGAGGAUGAGGUAGAUGUUCCUUACCGUGAGGUUUUAGUCCACAAUCUGUGGCAGCAAAAUGCUGCUAAGGCAGCACCUAAAAUGCUUUUCUUCCUCUUUCUGUCCGUUGCUUGAUGUCUACCCUGCUUGCUAAGGACCAUGUCUGAGUUCUUUCCCCAGCACACACCUAAUUGAUUAAUGUUCCACUACCCAGAACAGUGCUGUGGUGUGUCACAGUUACCCAAACCUUCAUGGUAUCUGAAUUUCCUCUCAGCUGUUCCCAAAGGCAAAGCAGGAGAUGAAGUAAGGAAUAAGGAUCCCCAAGUAGCCUCCUGCAGCUGAGCACCAUGGCACAGUAUGGCCCAGGGGCACAACUUACUUCAGAAAAAGAAUCAUGCCUCAGUCCAGACAGGCUCAUUUGUCCCAGCAUCAAGCCAGGAGAAAUCUUCCACUUUGUCCUGGCAUUUCUAGCAAAUGCUCUGGCAGAGGAGGUAGUAGCCUUAGAAAGCAAAAGCAGGAUUCCCCUCUGUGCCUCAUAAGUGCAGUCUUAGAGCCAGAAGCUGCCUGAUUUGCCAUGCUGCUGGUACAGAAGAUAUGGAGGCUCCAGAGCCCUGAAGCCCAGCUUCCCAGGUGUGUGCCAGAGCCUGGAUGUUCUGGGACCUAGACAGUUUGUCUGAGUCAGCCCAAGAGAAAUGCUAUCAUCUUUUCCACUUUGCAGGUCCUGCAUGUGUUAGCAGGAAAAGAAGUUAAUCCUAAAAGGAGCACUAACCCUGACAUUGGGCAGUCUGCUGUUAUUGCACGCAGGGAUUUUCCACGGAGAACCAUGAAAUGAUACUGAAUGGAAGGCACAUGCUCUGCAGAAUGACUCUGGCUGUGGGCUCUUGGUAUCUGGGACUCCAGAAGGCUCCAGGAAAAUACCAGUCUCUUAUGCAGGCUGUUAUGUCUUUGAGUGGGAUCACAAUUACUUUAUACUGGUUGGGCUUGAAGGAAUAGAUGCUGCUGGGCAAAACGUUCUUCGUUAAGAGACUCUGCUCAGGUGCCCUGUGGACCUUCCUGGUAAGAUACAAGCACCUGUCAGAAUCUUCUGGUGAUCAGUACCAUUCCUUUCAGAUGGCUGCUCCUAGUCAGCUUGGGGGCUAGGAAAGGGGACUUACUGCUGUGCAGAAAUCUCCAUGAAAAAAGGUUUGGACAUAGGGGCCACCAAAUUGCUAAGGACUUGUGCCUCUCUGCAGGGUCAGCAGGUGAAUAUGUACAUCAUGUCUCCCAGCCAUAUUCUGGCUACAUGAGUUCAGCAGGUUCAGUGAAUUAACUGGAGACUAGGUACAAUGGUUUUCUUAAUUACCACGAGUCAAUCUAGAAUGCCUUAUCUUGACAGAUCCAAUGUAGGUCCAGUUUCCUGUACAUGGCCUCAGGGGAAGUCUCUGCUUCAUGGAAAUGCAGGUCCCUCCUGAGCAGGCUUCCAUGCCAGAU
Zonotrichia albicollis (white-throated sparrow) is the source of this 2002-nucleotide non-coding RNA. The record is from RefSeq and is a predicted model, not a curated record. Lineage: Eukaryota; Metazoa; Chordata; Aves; Passeriformes; Passerellidae.